AGAGUUUGAUCCUGGCUUAGGAUGAACGCUAGCUACAGGCUUAACACAUGCAAGUCGAGGGGCAGCAUUGGGGUAGCAAUACUCAGAUGGCGACCGGCGCACGGGUGAGUAACACGUAUCCAACCUGCCGCUUACUCGGGGAUAGCCUUUCGAAAGAAAGAUUAAUACCCGAUGGUAUAAAGAGUUCGCAUGUUCUCUUUAUUAAAGAAUUUCGGUAAGCGAUGGGGAUGCGUUCCAUUAGAUAGUUGGCGGGGUAACGGCCCACCAAGUCUACGAUGGAUAGGGGUUCUGAGAGGAAGGUCCCCCACAUUGGAACUGAGACACGGUCCAAACUCCUACGGGAGGCAGCAGUGAGGAAUAUUGGUCAAUGGACGAGAGUCUGAACCAGCCAAGUAAGCGUGGAGGAUGACUGCCCUAUGGGUUGUAAACUUCUUUUAUAAGGGAAUAAAGUGAGGGACGUGUCCCUUUUUGUAUGUACCUUAUGAAUAAGGAUCGGCUAACUCCGUGCCAGCAGCGGC
Molecule: ribosomal RNA, 518 nt
Filed under: uncultured bacterium
Lineage: Bacteria
Description: bacterial SSU rRNA
Rfam family: Bacterial small subunit ribosomal RNA
Source: RNAcentral